RNAcentral lists this ribosomal RNA (465 nucleotides) under uncultured Klebsiella sp. Its description in RNAcentral is "bacterial SSU rRNA". It matches the Rfam family "Bacterial small subunit ribosomal RNA", at positions 338 to 795 of the family's 1533-position model. The record is from RNAcentral. Lineage: Bacteria; Pseudomonadati; Pseudomonadota; Gammaproteobacteria; Enterobacterales; Enterobacteriaceae.
CCUACGGGCGGCUGCAGUGGGGAAUAUUGCACAAUGGGCGCAAGCCUGAUGCAGCCAUGCCGCGUGUGUGAAGAAGGUCUUCGGGUUGUAAAGCACUUUCAGCGGGGAGGAAGGCGGUGAGGUUAAUAACCUCAUCGAUUGACAUUACCCGCAGAAGAAGCACCGGCUAACUCCGUGCCAGCAGCCGCGGUAAUACGGAGGGUGCAAGCGUUAAUCGGAAUUACUGGGCGUAAAGCGCACGCAGGCGGUCUGUCAAGUCGGAUGUGAAAUCCCCGGGCUCAACCUGGGAACUGCAUUCGAAACUGGCAGGCUAGAGUCUUGUAGAGGGGGGUAGAAUUCCAGGUGUAGCGGUGAAAUGCGUAGAGAUCUGGAGGAAUACCGGUGGCGAAGGCGGCCCCCUGGACAAAGACUGACGCUCAGGUGCGAAAGCGUGGGGAGCAAACAGGAUUAGAUACCCGGGUAGUC